GAUGAACGCUGGCGGCGUGCUUAACACAUGCAAGUCGAACGGAAAGGCCCAAGCUUGCUUGGGUACUCGAGUGGCGAACGGGUGAGUAACACGUGGGUGAUCUGCCCUGCACUUCGGGAUAAGCCUGGGAAACUGGGUCUAAUACCGGAUAGGACCACAUUUUGGAUGGUGUGGUGGAAAGUUUUUCGGUGUGGGAUGAGCUCGCGGCCUAUCAGCUUGUUGGUGGGGUAAUGGCCUACCAAGGCGUCGACGGGUAGCCGGCCUGAGAGGGUGUACGGCCACAUUGGGACUGAGAUACGGCCCAGACGCCUACGGGAGGCAGCAGUGGGGAAUAUUGCACAAUGGGCGCAAGCCUGAUGCAGCGACGCCGCGUGGGGGAUGACGGCCUUCGGGUUGUAAACUACUUUCGCUAGGGACGAAGCGCAAGUGACGGUACCUGGAGAAGAAGCACCGGCUAACUACGUG
This 465-nucleotide ribosomal RNA is filed under the name uncultured bacterium. RNAcentral describes it as "partial 16S ribosomal RNA". It matches the Rfam family "Bacterial small subunit ribosomal RNA", at positions 28 to 507 of the family's 1533-position model. The record is from RNAcentral.